CUACGGGAUGCAGCAGUGAGGAAUAUUGCGCAAUGGGGGCAACCCUGACGCAGCGACGCCGCGUGGAUGAUGAAGGCCUUCGGGUCGUAAAAUCCUGUCAGAUGGAAAGAAGUGCGAGGUGGUUAAUACCCAUUUCGUUUGACGGUACCAUCAGAGGAAGCACCGGCUAACUCCGUGCCAGCAGCCGCGGUAAUACGGAGGGUGCAAGCGUUGUUCGGAAUUACUGGGCGUAAAGCGCGCGUAGGCGGUUUGUUAAGUCAGAUGUGAAAGCCCACGGCUCAACCGUGGACGUGCAUUUGAACUGGAAGCCUUGAGUAUUGGAGGGGGUGGUGGAAUUCCCGGUGUAGAGGUGAAAUUCGUAGAUAUCGGGAGGAAUACCGGUGGCGAAGGCGACCACCUGGCCAAAUACUGACGCUGAGGUGCGAAAGCGUGGGGAGCAAACAGGAUUAGAUACCCUAGUAGUC
Molecule: ribosomal RNA, 464 nt
Filed under: uncultured bacterium
Lineage: Bacteria
Description: partial 16S ribosomal RNA
Rfam family: Bacterial small subunit ribosomal RNA
Source: RNAcentral